This 73-nucleotide transfer RNA is filed under the name candidate division TM6 bacterium JCVI TM6SC1. It matches the Rfam family "tRNA". Rfam says of the family: Transfer RNA (tRNA) molecules are approximately 80 nucleotides in length. The record is from Rfam by way of RNAcentral.
GCGGGAAUAGCUCAAUUGGUAGAGCGGCAGCCUUCCAAGCUGUAGGUUGCGGGUUCGAGUCCCGUUUCCCGCU